AGUGAACGCUGGCGGUAGGCCUAACACAUGCAAGUCGAACGGCAGCACAGUAAGAGCUUGCUCUUACGGGUGGCGAGUGGCGGACGGGUGGGGAAUACAUCGGAAUCUACUUUUUCGUGGGGGAUAACGUAGGGAAACUUACGCUAAUACCGCAUACGACCUACGGGUGAAAGCAGGGGAUCUUCGGACCUUGCGCGAUUGAAUGAGCCGAUGUCGGAUUAGCUAGUUGGCGGGGUAAAGGCCCACCAAGGCGACGAUCCGUAGCUGGUCUGAGAGGAUGAUCAGCCACACUGGAACUGAGACACGGUCCAGACUCCUACGGGAGGCAGCAGUGGGGAAUAUUGGACAAUGGGCGCAAGCCUGAUCCAGCCAUACCGCGUGGGUGAAGAAGGCCUUCGGGUUGUAAAGCCCUUUUGUUGGGAAAGAAAAGCAGCAGGUUAAUACCCCGCUGUUCUGACGGUACCCAAAGAAUAAGCGCCGGCUAACUUCGU
This 491-nucleotide ribosomal RNA is filed under the name uncultured bacterium. RNAcentral's name for it is "partial 16S ribosomal RNA". It matches the Rfam family "Bacterial small subunit ribosomal RNA", at positions 29 to 506 of the family's 1533-position model. The record is from RNAcentral.